Molecule: long non-coding RNA, 1466 nt
Organism: Cannabis sativa
Lineage: Eukaryota; Viridiplantae; Streptophyta; Magnoliopsida; Rosales; Cannabaceae
Exons: 3
Source: RefSeq, a predicted model, not a curated record
UGAGAAUACAAAAUAAUUAAACAUAAACACUUAAAAUUAAAUUAAAUACAAAAUUAAAUUCCAAACCUAGAAAAUCUGAGAAGACUAAAAUCCCAUUCUUCUCCCCCUUCUCUUCUGCGAUUCAGGGGGUCAACUUCUUUUCCCUCAUCGUCUUAUGAGAACCAGAGGUGCAAACCAGAGAACACCCCCCAUCGUCAUCGUCUUCUUUCUCUUCACCAACAACAGCCCUAUUUCACAUACCAUAUCUCACUAUCAUGUAUAAAUCACGCUAAAAACUGAUAUCAUCCACCAAAAAAUCUCUUAAGGGUAUGUAAUGCUUCUAUGCAUUACGCUUAAAAUAAAGAAAACUCAACUAAUACCAACACAGUAGAGUUGUCACUCUUUCUCAAAUGAGAAUUAAGAGAUGCUUCACAAAAUCUAACUUUAUACGUAUGAAUGAUAUUUCCAAUAUCAUAUCACCAUCCUCUUUUUCCUCUCUUCUCAACAGCUUGCAAAUCAGGGGCCAUCUUCUUUAUUUCUUUCAUUGUGCCCAAAUCAUAGGAAGACCCUAAAUCAUUCAUUAAGGGUUCUAAGUCAAUCUAAGAUGGAGAAGAAGAUACUGUUAAAAAAAAAAAAAGAUGGAGAAGAAGAUAAGGAUGGGAUAGUGUAAUUUUAGUGCCAAAAUAUAAUAUGGUGUGAUGAGGUUUAGUGCCAAAAUAUUUUUUAAAUUUGUGCAGAAGUUUUUUUUAGGCUCAUUCCAAUUUUUUGAAUUUGUUUUAGGAUUGUGUUCACUGUUCAUACUCAUUUUUUUGGGUUUUUGUUAACUGUUCAAGAGAGAGUGUAAAAGAAAAAGAGAGAGAACAAAAAAGGAAAACAUGUUGGUAAGAUGAGGAUUUGAUGAUUUUGAAUUCUUGUAUUAUGAUAUGGUUAUUAAUGGAAAAAUGAGAUGGAGAUCGAAGGAGAUGAAGUCGAGAGGAGAGAGAGAUUGUAGAAGAGAAAAGGGAAAACAUAUGUUUAUUUUUAAUUAUUUAUUUUUUUUUUAAUUUUUAAAUAUAUAUAUUUUUUUUAAUUUUUAAAUAUAUAUAUUUUUUAAAAUUUUUAAAAAUUGUUAGAAAAAAUAAAAAUUAAAUUACAUGGACCUAUCAGGAACUGCCACGCAGUAACUGAUUUGCCAAUUAACGGAGAGGUACCUACGGAAGUUCCAAGAGUGUAACGGAAGGUAUUUUUACCGCCAAAAAUACGACUUAGUCUUUGAAUGUGAAGGUCAAAAGAAUGGAGGUCACGAUUGCUGCAAGAGUUUUAAAAAUGGUAAUUGUCCUCGUAAUGAGAGUCAAUGCAAAUUAGAUUGUAGUGAUUGUCGUUAUGGAGAUGGAGGAAAAUGCAAAAUAUAAGGCGGUGAUCAUGUCUGUCAUUGUUAUUGUUAAUCCAAUAAUAAUUUACAUUAUUAUUAAAUAUUUUCAAUAAAAUGAUUAUUAUAUUUUAUUAUA